GUGGGGAAUAUUGGACAAUGGGCGCAAGCCUGAUCCAGCCAUGCCGCGUGAGUGAUGAAGGCCCUAGGGUUGUAAAGCUCUUUCACCGGAGAAGAUAAUGACGGUAUCCGGAGAAGGAGCCCCGGCUAACUUCGUGCCAGCAGCCGCGGUAAUACGAAGGGGGCUAGCGUUGUUCGGAAUUACUGGGCGUAAAGCGCACGUAGGCGGACAUUUAAGUCAGGGGUGAAAUCCCGGGGCUCAACCCCGGAACUGCCUUUGAUACUGGGUGUCUGGAGUAUGGAAGAGGUAAGUGGAAUUCCGAGUGUAGAGGUGAAAUUCGUAGAUAUUCGGAGGAACACCAGUGGCGAAGGCGGCUUACUGGUCCAUUACUGACGCUGAGGUGCGAAAGCGUGGGGAGCAAACAGGAUUAGAUACCCCGGUAGUCC
This 425-nucleotide ribosomal RNA is filed under the name uncultured bacterium. Its description in RNAcentral is "partial 16S ribosomal RNA". It matches the Rfam family "Bacterial small subunit ribosomal RNA", at positions 354 to 796 of the family's 1533-position model. The record is from RNAcentral.